GAGUAAGAAGCGAAGUUUUGCUAUCGGUUUCGACCCGAUCCUUGGUUUAUUUACCCUUACUCU
This 63-nucleotide transfer RNA is filed under the name Tetraclita rufotincta. RNAcentral describes it as "tRNA-Arg". Lineage: Eukaryota; Metazoa; Arthropoda; Thecostraca; Balanomorpha; Tetraclitidae. The record is from RNAcentral.